RNAcentral lists this ribosomal RNA (877 nucleotides) under uncultured bacterium. RNAcentral's name for it is "bacterial SSU rRNA". It matches the Rfam family "Bacterial small subunit ribosomal RNA", at positions 27 to 894 of the family's 1533-position model. The record is from RNAcentral.
GAACGAACGCUAGCGGCGCGUUUUAUGCAUGCAAGUCGAACGGCAGCAGUAGCAAUACUGUGAGAGUGGCGCACGGGUGAGUAACACGUAGGUGAUUUGUCUUGGGGAUGGGGAUAGCCUCUAGAAAUAGAGGGUAAUACCGAAUGCGUCCGGCUGGUAAGCCUUUAUCGGCCGGGGAAAGAUGCUACGGCAUCGACCUAAGAGGAGCCUGCGCCUGAUUAGCUAGUUGGUGAGGUAAUGGCCCACCAAGGCGACGAUCAGUAGCCGGCCUGAGAGGGUGUACGGCCACACUGGGACUGAGACACGGCCCAGACUCCUACGGGAGGCAGCAGCAAAGAAUCUUCCGCAAUGGACGAAAGUCUGACGGAGCGACGCCGCGUGUAUGACGAAGGCCGAAAGGUUGUAAAGUACUUUUCUUGAGGAAGAAUAAGGCAGGGAGGGAAUGCCCUGCUGAUGACAUGAAUUGAGGAAUAAGCCCCGGCUAACUACGUGCCAGCAGCCGCGGUAACACGUAGGGGGCAAGCGUUGUUCGGAAUUAUUGGGCGUAAAGGGCAUGUAGGCGGUCAUGCAAGCCUGGUGUGAAAAAUCUCAGCUUAACUGAGAAGACGCGCUGGGAACUGCAUAACUUGAGUUCGUAAGGGGAAGCCGGAAUUCCAGGUGUAGGGGUGAAAUCUGUAGAUAUCUGGAAGAACACCAAUGGCGUAGGCAGGCUUCUAGUACUGAACUGACGCUGAGAUGCGAAAGUGCGGGGAGCAAACAGGAUUAGAUACCCUGGUAGUCCGCACUGUAAACGAUGUACACUAGGUGUUGGGGUUUCUGACCUCAGUGCCGUAGCUAACGCGUUAAGUGUACCGCCUGGGGAGUAUGCCCGCAAGGG